UACGUAGGGGGCAAGCGUUGUCCGGAUUUAUUGGGCGUAAAGCGCUCGCAGGUGGUCCGUUGCGUCGUGCGUGAAAGACCCCGGCUCAACUGGGGAGGGUCAUUCGAUACUGAUCGACUCGAAGGCAGGAGAGGGUAGUGGAAUUCCCGGUGUAGUGGUGAAAUGCGUAGAUAUCGGGAGGAACACCAGUGGCGAAGGCGACUACCUGGCCUGUUCUUGACGCUGAGGCGCGAAAGCUAGGGGAGCAAACGGG
Molecule: ribosomal RNA, 253 nt
Filed under: uncultured bacterium
Lineage: Bacteria
Description: partial 16S ribosomal RNA
Rfam family: Bacterial small subunit ribosomal RNA
Source: RNAcentral